This is a long non-coding RNA of Carassius carassius (crucian carp), 397 nucleotides long. RefSeq lists it as uncharacterized. The record is from RefSeq and is a predicted model, not a curated record. The transcript is spliced from 3 exons. Lineage: Eukaryota; Metazoa; Chordata; Actinopteri; Cypriniformes; Cyprinidae.
UUCCUGCAACCAUAUUUAGAGGACCUCUAACAGUAUAAAAAGGGGUGGAGAGUCAAUGGCUCCAGACAGGUUUUCUAUUGUACAUCAAAUAGUAAGCAAUCAAGGACGCCUCAGACUUCAUGAAAGCCUGGUCUUAUUAACAAUUCCUUCAGGCACGCGGGGUGCACUUUUGCUCAUUAUUGACUAUAAUGUAGCAGACAGGAGACAAGUGUUUGAUGUUAAACGGUAACUGUGAAGGAGGCUGAUGUUCAUCCUCAUAACCCGGGCUGGGCCUCGGGCCUGUUUUAGGCUUCUCUGGAUCAUUUGGAGACCAUGAAGAGAUGAAACAAGAACCUCCAAGAGGAGAUUGCUGAUCUCACUGAACAAAUUGGUGAGAGUGGAAAGAACAUUCAUGAAC